Molecule: long non-coding RNA, 296 nt
Organism: Selaginella moellendorffii
Lineage: Eukaryota; Viridiplantae; Streptophyta; Lycopodiopsida; Selaginellales; Selaginellaceae
Exons: 2
Source: RefSeq, a predicted model, not a curated record
UUUGGUGUGAUGACAACAACGUUGGUGCCAGGUAAUAUGCUAUGGAAACACUCCGUGACAACAUUGAGUAAUACCAGGAUGCGACAGUGGAAGGAUAAGCGGCUGCAUUUGUUCCAUGGUCAUGGCGUGGAAAUAGUCUCCAGGGAGCUGGGAGCUGAGCUUUGAAAAAUUAAAGAGAGAGAGAGAGAAAAUAUGAGAUACACAUCUGGAAGAUAAGAACUUUUCAUCUCUCUUUCUCUCUCUCUCUUUCUAAUGCCAUCUUAAAUUCUCUAAUAAGCACCCUUUUAUUGUUUAAA